RNAcentral lists this ribosomal RNA (247 nucleotides) under uncultured bacterium. RNAcentral's name for it is "partial 16S ribosomal RNA". It matches the Rfam family "Bacterial small subunit ribosomal RNA", at positions 523 to 769 of the family's 1533-position model. The record is from RNAcentral.
AAGCGUAGGAGGCGAGCGUUAUCCGGAUUUACUGGGCGUAGAGCGUGUGUAGGCGGUUUGAUAAGUUGGAUGUGAAAGCUCCCGGCUCAACUGGGAGAGGUCGUUCAAAACUAUCAGACUCGAGAGUGGUAGAGGGAGGUGGAAUUCCGCGUGUAGUGGUGAAAUGCGUAGAUAUGCGGAGGAACACCAGUGGCGAAAGCGGCCUCCUGGCCCAUUUCUGACACUCAGACGCGAAAGCUAGGGUAGC